AGGAGUAUAGUUCAGUUGGUAGAACGUUGGUCUCCAAAACCAAAUGUCGUGGGUUCGAGUCCUACUACUCCUGCCA
This 76-nucleotide transfer RNA is filed under the name Tissierellia bacterium. Its description in RNAcentral is "tRNA-Trp". It matches the Rfam family "tRNA". From Rfam's summary of the family: Transfer RNA (tRNA) molecules are approximately 80 nucleotides in length. Their secondary structure includes four short double-helical elements and three loops (D, anti-codon, and T loops). Lineage: Bacteria; Bacillati; Bacillota; Tissierellia. The record is from RNAcentral.